Molecule: long non-coding RNA, 339 nt
Filed under: Lathyrus oleraceus (garden pea)
Lineage: Eukaryota; Viridiplantae; Streptophyta; Magnoliopsida; Fabales; Fabaceae
Description: Pisum sativum (pea) long non-coding RNA (PSAT_LNC014233)
Source: RNAcentral
AAGAAAAAUAUGAAUAAUUAGAUCUUAAAAGUUGGAUGCAAAAAUGUUUGAAAAUGAUCAAAAAUAAAAUGGAAAAUAAAAAUUAAAUGAAAAAUCAAGGAAAAUAUCAAUUAAAUACUAAAAUGAUUUUAAAAAUUAUGCAAAAAAUAUAUAUGACAAAAUAUUUCUAUGCAAUUUGUGUAUAAAAUUUGGAUCAAAAUGAAUUAAAAAUCAAUCAAAAUAAAGUCAGAAAAGAAAAAGAAAGUAAAAUGAAAAUAAAAAUAAAAAUAAAAAUCAAAUGAAAAAUGUUUGAAUUAGGGCGCCAACAACUACUUUAUUUGGAAAGGCGCUCGCAGGUCC